Molecule: non-coding RNA, 749 nt
Organism: Plectropomus leopardus (leopard coralgrouper)
Lineage: Eukaryota; Metazoa; Chordata; Actinopteri; Perciformes; Serranidae
Source: RefSeq, a predicted model, not a curated record
AGUGUGGAGUGGAGAACCUCAAGAGAGCUGAGUCAUUAAACGGGAACCCUCUCUUUAUGAAGGCUCUGGCAGACCUGGUCCAUUCCCACCUGAAGUCCAACCAGCCCUGUUCCCGUCAGCUGACCCUGCGCUGCCCGCUGUGCACCAACCCCACCUGCGGAGAAACCAAGGCUUUCUUCGCCAGCCAGACGCUCUCGUAGAAACACACACUCACACACACUCACACACACUCUGGUGCCCUUCCUGCAGCGAUGCUACCUGUGAAGAAACUUAAGGCCUUCUUCGAUUAACACACAUAAACGCACACCGUCUCUGCACCCAGAGUGUCGGUUACAGAGAAAACACGAAGACCAAAUGUUGUCUGCACAAUCAUUUUGACGUUCGUUUUAUUGUAUUUACACGCGAGGCGUUAACCACGAGACGUUCCUGACUUUAUGAGAAAAAUAACAUCCAGGCACAAAUUAGCAGCACUUAAAUAUUAAUUAACUUAAAAUAAAAAAACGUCCUUAUUUGGGGUUUUGCAGACGCCAUUUGGUGACCAGAUUUAAAUAACCGACACUCUGCGGAGCUCGCUCACAUCACAUCGACGCUACAGGAAAAAGCCUUGCACUAGUUUUAUUUUUGUUUAUUUCAGCUCCCUUGGUUACAUUCCAUUUGCUUUGCCCCUGCAAACCCCCGUCAGAGACCCUGUUGCUCCUCUCGCUGGUGCUAAACGAAUAACGACGACACCACACACACAAGGGAUCUGA